Molecule: transfer RNA, 73 nt
Filed under: Enterocloster clostridioformis
Lineage: Bacteria; Bacillati; Bacillota; Clostridia; Lachnospirales; Lachnospiraceae
Description: tRNA-Val
Rfam family: tRNA
About the family: Transfer RNA (tRNA) molecules are approximately 80 nucleotides in length. Their secondary structure includes four short double-helical elements and three loops (D, anti-codon, and T loops).
Source: RNAcentral
GGGGUCUUAGCUCAGCUGGGAGAGCAUCUGCCUUACAAGCAGAGGGUUACAGGUUCGAGCCCUGUAGGCCCCA